This 259-nucleotide ribosomal RNA is filed under the name uncultured bacterium. RNAcentral describes it as "partial 16S ribosomal RNA". It matches the Rfam family "Bacterial small subunit ribosomal RNA", at positions 524 to 777 of the family's 1533-position model. The record is from RNAcentral.
UACGGGGGGGGGCAAGCGUUGUUCGGAAUUACUGGGCGUAAAGGGCGCGUAGGCGGCCUGCUAAGUCGGAUGUGAAAUCCCUCGGCUCAACCGAGGAACUGCAUCCGAUACUGGCGGGCUUGAAUCCGGGAGAGGGAUGUGGAAUUCCAGGUGUAGCGGUGAAAAUGCGUAGAUAUCUGGAGGAACACCGGUGGCGAAGGCGGCAUCCUGGACCGGUAUUGACGCUGAGGCGGCGAAAAGCUAGGGGGAGCAAACGGGG